This 513-nucleotide long non-coding RNA is filed under the name Linum usitatissimum (flax). RNAcentral's name for it is "long non-coding RNA (LUSI_LNC003365)". The record is from RNAcentral. Lineage: Eukaryota; Viridiplantae; Streptophyta; Magnoliopsida; Malpighiales; Linaceae.
CAAAUACCAAAAUUUGAUGUUUGAAUGAGACUUCACUUUUGCAUUUGAUUUCAAAUCAAAAUACAAGGUUGCAUAUGACCUUAACUCCUUCGUAAUUCAAAAAAAAAUUGACGAUUUGCUCGUCAGCCACGGGCGCCAGUCACUUCCGCCGCUCUCCGUCGGUAACUCCACCAUCUGGAGUCACAUCCAUCUGCCAGCCACUUUCAUCGGCACUUUCACCACCAUCUUUCGGCAAUUGUUCUGUCAUCUUCCGACAACAUCCACCGCCAUGCAUUGGUCUCCUUCGUCGUGGGCUUGCUGUGAGAGCUUUCGGUUUUAAUAUUUUAUAUAAUUGUGUGUCAUUUGAUGAAGGAGUAUGUGUAUUAUACUUGAACUACACACAAAUUAAAGCAUCCAAACACAUGAUUUUGAUUUGAAAUUCCAAAUGUAAAUACAGUCAGCGAAAUCUGCAUUUGUGAGGUUCAUUUUGAAAUGAAUUUUGCGAUUUUGAUAAAUGAAGGAAUUCAUUUUGAA